UACGAAGGGGGCUAGCGUUGUUCGGAAUUACUGGGCGCAAAGCGCGCGCAGGCGGUUUUCCAAGUCAGAGGUGAAAUGCCGGGGCUCAACCCCGGAACUGCCUUUGAAACUGGAAGGCUGGAGUUCGGGAGGGGAGUGCGGAAUUCCUGAUGUAGAGGUGAAAUUCGUAGAUAUCAGGAGGAACACCGGUGGCGAAGGCGGCACUCUGGACCGAUACUGACGCUGAGGAGCGAAAGCGUGGGUAGCAAACAGG
RNAcentral lists this ribosomal RNA (253 nucleotides) under uncultured bacterium. RNAcentral's name for it is "partial 16S ribosomal RNA". It matches the Rfam family "Bacterial small subunit ribosomal RNA", at positions 524 to 776 of the family's 1533-position model. The record is from RNAcentral.